Molecule: ribosomal RNA, 465 nt
Filed under: Vreelandella stevensii
Lineage: Bacteria; Pseudomonadati; Pseudomonadota; Gammaproteobacteria; Oceanospirillales; Halomonadaceae
Description: partial 16S ribosomal RNA
Rfam family: Bacterial small subunit ribosomal RNA
Source: RNAcentral
CCUACGGGGGGCUGCAGUGGGGAAUAUUGGACAAUGGGGGCAACCCUGAUCCAGCCAUGCCGCGUGUGUGAAGAAGGCCCUCGGGUUGUAAAGCACUUUCAGUGAGGAAGAACGCCUGGUGGUUAAUACCCAUCAGGAAAGACAUCACUCACAGAAGAAGCACCGGCUAACUCCGUGCCAGCAGCCGCGGUAAUACGGAGGGUGCGAGCGUUAAUCGGAAUUACUGGGCGUAAAGCGCGCGUAGGUGGCUUGAUAAGCCGGUUGUGAAAGCCCCGGGCUCAACCUGGGAACGGCAUCCGGAACUGGCAAGCUAGGGUGCAGGAGAGGAAGGUAGAAUUCCCGGUGGAGCGGUGAAAUGCGUAGAGAUCGGGAGGAAUACCAGUGGCGAAGGCGGCCUUCUGGACUGACACUGACACUGAGGUGCGAAAGCGUGGGUAGCAAACAGGAUUAGAUACACGGGUAGUC